AAAAAUCCCGUUUGUCAUGACGGGCGCGCUCCCCCCCUGGCACAGAACAGAGCACCAAGAGCCGAAAACAGAACCAGCGUUUGUCGUCAUCCGGAUAGUAAACACAGUUCCUAAAAGGAGUGAGAGAUCGUCAGGCAUUUUCAUGUAGCUGCUUCUACAGUUAUUUUGGAGAGGAAGAAUGCUGCUGAGGGAAACAGGAAUCUACUUGGAGGGAGCGAGAGGACACGGGAAUGCGCUCUACAGGAAGAAAUUUCUCACCUGGGAGCAAUGAGGAAGGAGGCAGUUGGGAGUUGGAAGAGGAGACGGUGCUGGGAGUUGGAAGAGAAGAGGUACAGAGAAAAUGGCAGAGGACUGUACCUGUGACUCUGCACCAGCAAGUCUGACACUCCUCAAAAAUAGAGGAGAAUAAAGAAGAGAGAGGAACUCAGAAAGUCCAGAAAUGGCACAGCCUGUGAUUGCCUUCAGAAUGAGGUUUCUAAGAAAAUGUUAAGAAUAUGCUAAAAGUUACUUCUUUCUGAAUCUUGAGAGGCAGCAGCAUGUGUGCUUUGAUCUCAACCCAAACAGGCUUGUCUACUCCAGGUUCCCAGAAGAAAGUAUUCAGCCUUGACUAAAAAGUAAAUAACAUUCUUUAUAAAAUCCCAACCAUUUCCUUUGUUAUUAUAUGAUUAAUAAAAGGCAGGAGGACUGUGAUUGCACGUGAAUAUGAUCUUAAUCAUUGUUGAACUUCUCCAUGUGGAACAGAAAUGAUGGUGGUUACCUGAUGACUAGAUUCAAGUUUCUUCUGAGUACUUUCUCUUCUCUAUGAUGGUUCUCAGUGCCCUCCUGAUCAGUGACAAAUAAAGCUCUGGGAGGCAAGGUGGGGUUGCCUUUAUAUAUCAUCAAAUUCC
Mirounga angustirostris (Northern elephant seal) is the source of this 887-nucleotide long non-coding RNA. RefSeq lists it as uncharacterized. The transcript is spliced from 5 exons. Lineage: Eukaryota; Metazoa; Chordata; Mammalia; Carnivora; Phocidae. The record is from RefSeq and is a predicted model, not a curated record.